AUAAUGGCCUGGAUAAGUGACUGUCUUUGGUGUUUUAAGUGUGUUUCUGAAGAGCUGCAUGGAGGAUGAAAUCAUUGUGUUAGUGCUAUUUUGAAAAUACAAAGUGGGACAUGUCAAUUGUUUGUUAAUUUCCCUUUGAAAGACAACAAUGUGGACUAGAAUGUUGCUGAGAGAAUGACAGAGUCAAUAUAUGGAAUCAAUCUGAUGCUCCAUCUGCUGUGGUGGUGACCCGUGUACUGUCGAGGGGACUUCCUUGUCACCUUGCCUGUUUGAGCUCUCA
This 280-nucleotide unclassified non-coding RNA is filed under the name Hevea brasiliensis (rubber tree). Lineage: Eukaryota; Viridiplantae; Streptophyta; Magnoliopsida; Malpighiales; Euphorbiaceae. The record is from RNAcentral.